This 117-nucleotide ribosomal RNA is filed under the name Rhodanobacter sp. RNAcentral's name for it is "partial 16S ribosomal RNA". It matches the Rfam family "Bacterial small subunit ribosomal RNA", at positions 1 to 109 of the family's 1533-position model. Lineage: Bacteria; Pseudomonadati; Pseudomonadota; Gammaproteobacteria; Lysobacterales; Rhodanobacteraceae. The record is from RNAcentral.
UUAAGUGAAGAGUUUGAUCCUGGCUCAGAUUGAACGCUGGCGGCAUGCCUAACACAUGCAAGUCGAACGGCAGCACAGCAGAGCUUGCUCUGUGGGUGGCGAGUGGCGGACGGGUGA